UCCCUACGGGGGGCAGCAGUGAGGAAUAUUGAUCAAUGGACGAGAGUCUGAACCAGCCAAGUAGCGUGAAGGAUGACUGCCCUAUGGGUUGUAAACUUCUUUUACAUGGGAAUAAAGUUUUCCACGUGUGGAAUUUUGUAUGUACCAUAUGAAUAAGGAUCGGCUAACUCCGUGCCAGCAGCCGCGGUAAUACGGAGGAUCCGAGCGUUAUCCGGAUUUAUUGGGUUUAGAGGGAGCGUAGGUGGAUUGUUAAGUCAGUUGUGAAAGUUUGCGGCUCAACCGUAAAAUUGCAGUUGAAACUGGCA
This 305-nucleotide ribosomal RNA is filed under the name uncultured bacterium. Its description in RNAcentral is "bacterial SSU rRNA". It matches the Rfam family "Bacterial small subunit ribosomal RNA", at positions 335 to 638 of the family's 1533-position model. The record is from RNAcentral.